AACGAACGCUGGCGGCGUGGAUUAGGCAUGCAAGUCGGGGGAAUCCCAGCAAUGGGGGAACCGGCGUAAGGGGCAGUAAGGCAUGGGUACCUACCUUUGGGUUCGGGAUAGCCAUCAGAGAUGGUGGGUAAUACCGGAUGACGUCGUGAGACCAAAGAUUUAUCGCCCGGAGAGGGGCCCAUGUGAUAUUAGCUUGUUGGUGAGGUAACGGCUCACCAAGGCGAAGAUGUCUAGCGGGUGUGAGAGCACGACCCGCGCCACUCGCACUGAGACACUGGCGAGACACCUACGGGUGGCUGCAGUCGAGGAUCUUCGGCAAUGAGCGCAAGCUUGACCGAGCGACGCCGCGUGAGCGAUGAAGGCCUUCGGGUUGUAAAGCUCUUUAGUGGGGGAGAAAAGCCCGCAAGGGUGUGAUCUAUCCCAAAAAUAAGCACGGGCUAAGUUCGUGCCAGCAGCCGCGGUAAGACGAACCGUGCGAACGUUGUUCGGAAUCACUGGGCUUAAAGGGCGCGUAGGCGGGCUGUCAAGUCUGGGGUGAAAUGCCGCGGCUCAACCGUGGAACUGCCUUAGAUACUGACGGCCUCGAGGGAGGUAGGGGCGUGCGGAACUGUAGGUGGAGCGGUGAAAUGCGUUGAUAUCUACAGGAACUCCGGUGGCGAAAGCGGCGCGCUGGACCUCUUCUGACGCUGAGGCGCGAAAGCUAGGGGAGCAACGGGAUUAGAUACCCCGGUAGUCCUAGCCCUAAACGAUGGGU
RNAcentral lists this ribosomal RNA (754 nucleotides) under uncultured bacterium. Its description in RNAcentral is "bacterial SSU rRNA". It matches the Rfam family "Bacterial small subunit ribosomal RNA", at positions 28 to 814 of the family's 1533-position model. The record is from RNAcentral.